Molecule: ribosomal RNA, 501 nt
Filed under: uncultured bacterium
Lineage: Bacteria
Description: bacterial SSU rRNA
Rfam family: Bacterial small subunit ribosomal RNA
Source: RNAcentral
AGUGAACGCUGGCGGCAGGCCUAAUACAUGCAAGUCGAACGGCAGCACAGCAGAGCUUGCUCUGUGGGUGGCGAGUGGCGGACGGGUGAGGAAUACAUGGGAAUCUGCCCAGUCGUGGGGGAUAACGUAGGGAAACUUACGCUAAUACCGCAUGCGCCCUUCGGGGGAAAGCCGGGGACCUUCGGGCCUGGCGCGAUUGGAUGAGCCCAUGUCGGAUUAGCUAGUUGGCGGGGUAAUGGCCCACCAAGGCGACGAUCCGUAGCUGGUCUGAGAGGAUGAUCAGCCACACUGGAAACUGAGACACGGUCCAGACUCCUACGGGAGGCAGCAGUAGGGAAUAUUGGACAAUGGGCGCAAGCCUGAUCCAGCCAUGCCGCGUGAGUGAAGAAGGCCCUCGGGUUGUAAAGCUCUUUUGUCCGGAAGAAAAGCGCCGGGUUAAUACCCUGGUGUCCUGACGGUACCGGAAGAAUAAGCACCGGGCUAACCUUCGUGCCAGCAGCC